RNAcentral lists this ribosomal RNA (681 nucleotides) under uncultured bacterium. RNAcentral's name for it is "bacterial SSU rRNA". It matches the Rfam family "Bacterial small subunit ribosomal RNA", at positions 8 to 682 of the family's 1533-position model. The record is from RNAcentral.
AGAGUUUGAUCCUGGCUCAGAUUGAACGCUGGCGGCAUGCUUUACACAUGCAAGUCGAACGGCAGCGGUCCCUUCGGGGAGCCGGCGAGUGGCGAACGGGUGAGUAAUGCAUCGGAACGUGCCGAGUACUGGGGGAUAACCCAGCGAAAGUUGGGCUAAUACCGCAUACGUCCUGAGGGGGAAAGCGGGGGACCUGAGAGGGCCUCGCGGUAUUCGAGCGGCCGAUGUCCGAUUAGCUAGUUGGUGGGGUAAAGGCCUACCAAGGCGACGAUCGGUAGCGGGUCUGAGAGGAUGAUCCGCCACACUGGGACUGAGACACGGCCCAGACUCCUACGGGAGGCAGCAGUGGGGAAUUUUGGACAAUGGGCGCAAGCCUGAUCCAGCCAUGCCGCGUGCAGGAAGAAGGCCUUCGGGUUGUAAACUGCUUUCGGCCGGGACGAAAUUGCCUGACCUAAUACGUUGGGUGGAUGACGGUACCGGAAGAAGAAGCACCGGCUAACUACGUGCCAGCAGCCGCGGUAAUACGUAGGGUGCGAGCGUUAAUCGGAAUUACUGGGCGUAAAGCGUGCGCAGGCGGAUGUUUAAGCCAGAUGUGAAAUCCCCGGGCUUAACCUGGGAAUGGCAUUUGGAACUGGACGUCUAGAGUGUGGCAGAGGGGGGUGGAAUUCCACGUGUAGCAGU